GGACUCGUAGCUCAGUUGGUUAGAGCGCGUCGUUGACAUCGACGAGGUCAGAGGUUCGACUCCUCUCGGGUCCA
RNAcentral lists this transfer RNA (74 nucleotides) under Candidatus Amesbacteria bacterium RIFCSPHIGHO2_01_FULL_47_34. RNAcentral describes it as "tRNA-Val". It matches the Rfam family "tRNA". Rfam says of the family: Transfer RNA (tRNA) molecules are approximately 80 nucleotides in length. Their secondary structure includes four short double-helical elements and three loops (D, anti-codon, and T loops). The record is from RNAcentral. RNAcentral also lists the same sequence under 2 other names. Lineage: Bacteria; Candidatus Amesiibacteriota.